This 777-nucleotide ribosomal RNA is filed under the name Anchoa filifera (longfinger anchovy). RNAcentral's name for it is "partial 16S ribosomal RNA". It matches the Rfam family "Bacterial large subunit ribosomal RNA", at positions 585 to 1860 of the family's 2925-position model. The record is from RNAcentral. Lineage: Eukaryota; Metazoa; Chordata; Actinopteri; Clupeiformes; Engraulidae.
GCAGAGACCACCCCUCGUACCUUUUGCAUCAUGAUCCAGCAAGUUUACUCAAGCAAAGAGAACUCUAGUUUGAACCCCCGAAACUUGACGAGCUACUCCGAGACAGCCAAUUAUGGGCCAACCCGUCUCUGUGGCAAAAGAGUGGGAAGAUCUCCGAGUAGGGGCAAAAAACCUACCGAGCCAAGUAAUAGCUGGUUGCCCAAUAAAUGAAUAAAAGUUCAGCCCCGCCUAGCCCAAUUCAAAAUAGUUCAACAAAAAAGAUAAAGAGCUCACCCGCGGGAGUUAAUCAGAGGAGGUACAGCUCCCCUGAUACAGGAUACAACCUUUUUAGGUGACAAAAGAAUAUUAUCAAAUAAAGGCCUAAGGUCCCAGUGGGCCUGAAAGCAGCCAUCUAACCCGAAAGCGUUAAAGCUCCGACCACAAUUUAACCUUUUAUUUAAUUUUUAUCUCUACCCCCCCUAAUUCCAUUGGGCCUCCCCAUGCAUUUCAUGGAAGAGACUAUGCUGAAACGAGUAACAAGAAGUAUGAACUUCUCCACGCACAAGUGUAUGCUAAAUUGGACCAACCACCGGCAACUAACGAACCCAACAAAAGAGGGCCCUACACACCCACCACCUCCAACCAAGAAAACCAUGUUCCCCUAAAAUCGUUACCCCAACACAGGAGUGCUAGAACAAGGAAAGACUAAAAGAAAAAAAAGGAACUCGGCAAACCCAGACCCCGCCUGUUUACCAAAAACAUCGCCUCUUGCACCCUAAAGUAUAAGAGGUCCCACCU